RNAcentral lists this ribosomal RNA (263 nucleotides) under uncultured bacterium. RNAcentral describes it as "partial 16S ribosomal RNA". It matches the Rfam family "Bacterial small subunit ribosomal RNA", at positions 793 to 1055 of the family's 1533-position model. The record is from RNAcentral.
GUCCACGCCGUAAACGUUGGGCGCUAGGUGUGGGGGACAUUCCACGUCCUCUGUGCCGUAGCUAACGCAUUAAGCGCCCCGCCUGGGGAGUACGGCCGCAAGGCUAAAACUCAAAGGAAUUGACGGGGGCCCGCACAAGCGGCGGAGCAUGUGGCUUAAUUCGACGCAACGCGAAGAACCUUACCAAGGCUUGACAUACACGGUAAUCCGGCAGAGAUGUCGGGUCCUUACGGGAUCGUGUACAGGUGGUGCAUGGCUGUCGU